RNAcentral lists this ribosomal RNA (492 nucleotides) under uncultured bacterium. RNAcentral's name for it is "partial 16S ribosomal RNA". It matches the Rfam family "Bacterial small subunit ribosomal RNA", at positions 29 to 507 of the family's 1533-position model. The record is from RNAcentral.
AGUGAACGCUGGCGGUAGGCCUAACACAUGCAAGUCGAACGGCAGCACAGUAAGAGCUUGCUCUUACGGGUGGCGAGUGGCGGAAGGGUGCGGAAUACAUCGGAAUCUACUUUUUCGUGGGGGCUAACGUAGGGAAACUUACGCUAAUACCGCAUACGACCUACGGGUGAAAGCAGGGGAUCUUCGGACCUUGCGCGAUUGAAUGAGCCGAUGUCGGCUUAGCUCGUUGGCGGGGUAAAGGCCCACCAAGGCGACGAUCCGUAGCUGGUCUGAGAGGAUGAUCAGCCACACGGGAACUGAGACACGGUCCAGACUCCUACGGGAGGCAGCAGUGGGGAAUAUUGGACAAUGGGCGCAAGCCUGAUCCAGCCAUACCGCGUGGGGGAAGAAGGCCUUCGGGUUGUAAAGCCCUUUUGUUGGGAAAGAAAAGCAGCAGGUUAACACCCCGCGGUUCUGACGGUACCCAAAGAAUAAGCACCGGCUAACUUCGUG